This 541-nucleotide ribosomal RNA is filed under the name Escherichia coli. RNAcentral describes it as "bacterial SSU rRNA". It matches the Rfam family "Bacterial small subunit ribosomal RNA", at positions 1004 to 1533 of the family's 1533-position model. Lineage: Bacteria; Pseudomonadati; Pseudomonadota; Gammaproteobacteria; Enterobacterales; Enterobacteriaceae. The record is from RNAcentral.
AGAUGAGAAUGUGCCUUCGGGAACCGUGAGACAGGUGCUGCAUGGCUGUCGUCAGCUCGUGUUGUGAAAUGUUGGGUUAAGUCCCGCAACGAGCGCAACCCUUAUCCUUUGUUGCCAGCGGUCCGGCCGGGAACUCAAAGGAGACUGCCAGUGAUAAACUGGAGGAAGGUGGGGAUGACGUCAAGUCAUCAUGGCCCUUACGACCAGGGCUACACACGUGCUACAAUGGCGCAUACAAAGAGAAGCGACCUCGCGAGAGCAAGCGGACCUCAUAAAGUGCGUCGUAGUCCGGAUUGGAGUCUGCAACUCGACUCCAUGAAGUCGGAAUCGCUAGUAAUCGUGGAUCAGAAUGCCACGGUGAAUACGUUCCCGGGCCUUGUACACACCGCCCGUCACACCAUGGGAGUGGGUUGCAAAAGAAGUAGGUAGCUUAACCUUCGGGAGGGCGCUUACCACUUUGUGAUUCAUGACUGGGGUGAAGUCGUAACAAGGUAACCGUAGGGGAACCUGCGGUUGGAUCACCUCCUUACCUUAAAGAAGC